Molecule: ribosomal RNA, 253 nt
Filed under: uncultured bacterium
Lineage: Bacteria
Description: partial 16S ribosomal RNA
Rfam family: Bacterial small subunit ribosomal RNA
Source: RNAcentral
UACGGGGGGGGCAAGCGUUGUUCGGAAUUACUGGGCGUAAAGGGUUCGUAGGUGGCCAACUAAGUCAGACGUGAAAUCCCUCAGCUUAACUGGGGAACUGCGUCUGAGACUGGAUGGCUUGAGUGCAGGAGAGGAACGCGGAAUUCCAGGUGUAGCGGUGAAAUGCGUAGAUAUCAGGAGGAGCACCUGCGGUGUAGACGGCUUACUGGACCAUAACUGACGCUGAGGCACGAAAGCGUGGGUAGCAAACAGG